CGGAGACGGAGAGGAGGUGGCUGACGAGGAGGUGGCCGACGAGGAGGUGGUGGUGGUGGUAGUGCAGGCGGCAGAAGUUGAGACCGGAGGUUGAGGGGGGACCAGCUGGGUCGGAGGGAUCAAAGCAGCCGAACAUUUCUCUGGAGGAGCUUGUUCAACUUGAGUUCCAGUGGCGGGAUCUAGUGUUGCAUAAAACUUGUAAUUUAAAACUGUGAAUACACUGCAUCUUUCUUUUUCCAGUUGUAGGAAACCAACCCUGUCCAUGUUUUCUUUGCCUCAACUAUCCGUUUGCAUCUCACCUUCCCCGGCACCUGGAGAAGAUCAGAACAGAUCCUGGAGAAGAUCAGGACAGAUCCUGGAGAAGAUCAGGACAGAGCCAGACACAUGUCAUAUUACCACUUGGGAGAUCUGAGAGAACUCUGAAUUAGGAAACCUAACCAGUUAAUUUGUUCUCCACCUUCACUACAAUGUGAUGCACACCAGCUCUUCUGCUUUUCUUCUUGCUGUGUGCCCUCAUGGAUAUAUAAUCCUCAUGGUUCAAAAUCAUAUAAAAAAAAAAUGUAGUUUGAAAGGGUUUACUACCACAGGUUUGGGUUAACCUUGAUCAUUUCAAUGCAACAAUAGGAUUAGAAACCUAGAAA
Long non-coding RNA from Pezoporus flaviventris, 641 nucleotides. RefSeq lists it as uncharacterized. The record is from RefSeq and is a predicted model, not a curated record. The transcript has 2 exons. Lineage: Eukaryota; Metazoa; Chordata; Aves; Psittaciformes; Psittacidae.